GAAGAUUAUUUCUCUGUGGGCAGUGUUUUGAGAUUGGAAAGAAAAUCUCUCAGUACGAUGGGACAUUCUGAAGCCCCAGUGCACACAAGAAAGGCAGAGACAUUAACAGAUUGUCGUGGCUGACCUGAGAGCAUGAGAUGCUUCCAGUGAUGACACCUGAUGACACAUAAAGAGAGCAGCCUAGAGCCACUGACUGGAACCACUAUGCCACUCCUGGAGAUUGGAUGAGACCAUCUGAGGAGCCACUGGCACAUCUGGGCCCUAGCUGACCACCUACAGUAUAUCAGGUAUAGUACCAGCCCAGAUGCUUAAGAAGAUGGCUGUGAGGUCCUGCUGAUAAUGACUGGAACAUCUAUGAUCAUCAUUUCUUUUCCAAAAAAAGGCAUCUCCAGACGGGGCAUCAACGUCACAGCUAGUCAGCAGGUUUGUGAAAUAUUUACUGCGGAUGAUGGUUCAUGAAGAAUACAUGAGGACAGUGGAGCAGUGCUUUACGGCCUCGUUGCUGUGCGAACCCCUGCCAGGAAGGACUGCUGCUCGCUCGGCUGACAAAGUUUUCACAGGGAUACCUGGCAUGAAGAGGUACGAGACAAAUUGUACCAUAAUUCCAGGGAUUUUUAUUCAGUUAUACUAAAAGAUAAGAAAAUGUACUCAUAUAUUUGCAUGGGGAAAACAUAUUUUUAUUUUUGGUGUGUAUACUGAAACACAACUUUGUCCAGAUUUCAGAUGCGUAAUGAAUGUUACAUCCA
Long non-coding RNA from Cyprinus carpio (common carp), 746 nucleotides. RefSeq lists it as uncharacterized. The record is from RefSeq and is a predicted model, not a curated record. The transcript has 3 exons. Lineage: Eukaryota; Metazoa; Chordata; Actinopteri; Cypriniformes; Cyprinidae.